UACAGAGGUCUCAAGCGUUGUUCGGAUUCAUUGGGCGUAAAGGGUGCGUAGGUGGUGCUGUAAGUCAGGUGUGAAAUCUCGGGGCUCAACCCCGAAACUGCACUUGAUACUGCAGUGCUCGAGGACUGGAGAGGAGAUUGGAAUUCAUGGUGUAGCAGUGAAAUGCGUAGAUAUCAUGAGGAAGACCAGUGGCGAAGGCGGAUCUCUGGACAGUUCCUGGCACUGAGGCACGAAGGCCAGGGGAGCAAACGGG
This 253-nucleotide ribosomal RNA is filed under the name uncultured bacterium. Its description in RNAcentral is "partial 16S ribosomal RNA". It matches the Rfam family "Bacterial small subunit ribosomal RNA", at positions 524 to 776 of the family's 1533-position model. The record is from RNAcentral.